GAUGAACGCUGGCGGCGUGCCUAAUACAUGCAAGUCGAGCGAACGGACGAGAAGCUUGCUUCUCUGAUGUUAGCGGCGGACAGGUGAGUAACACGUGGAUAACCUACCUAUAAGACUGGGAUAACUUCGGGAAACCGGAGCUAAUACCGGAUAAUAUUUUGAACCGCAUGGUUCAAAAGUGAAAGACGGUCUUGCUGUCACUUAUAGAUGGAUCCGCGCUGCAUUAGCUAGUUGGUAAGGUAACGGCUUACCAAGGCAACGAUGCAUAGCCGACCUGAGAGGGUGAUCGGCCACACUGGAACUGAGACACGGUCCAGACUCCUACGGGAGGCAGCAGUAGGGAAUCUUCCGCAAUGGGCGAAAGCCUGACGGAGCAACGCCGCGUGAGUGAUGAAGGUCUUCGGAUCGUUAAACUCUGUUAUUAGGGAAGAACAUAUGUGUAAGUAACUGUGCACAUCUUGACGGUACCUAAUCAGAAAGCCACGGCUAACUACGUG
This 497-nucleotide ribosomal RNA is filed under the name uncultured bacterium. RNAcentral describes it as "partial 16S ribosomal RNA". It matches the Rfam family "Bacterial small subunit ribosomal RNA", at positions 28 to 507 of the family's 1533-position model. The record is from RNAcentral.